RNAcentral lists this long non-coding RNA (1762 nucleotides) under Varanus komodoensis (Komodo dragon). Its description in RNAcentral is "lncRNA (ENSVKKG00000012189.1)". Lineage: Eukaryota; Metazoa; Chordata; Lepidosauria; Squamata; Varanidae. The record is from RNAcentral.
UAGUGAUUUGGGGGCACCUGGAGUAUUCACCAAUGCAGCAUAUGACAGCUUUUCCUAAGAAUUCGCUUGGAACCUGGCCAUGGGAUAAAAGCGCCGGCACAGUGGGAUUUCCUGCACUUCAGCUCAGUUCUGCCUCCCGCCAGCGAGCGUCUGUGCCUCAUAGGUGGGGACGGAAUAAAUCCAUGCUGCCAUUCAUGCCGUGUGCCCAGUGACCAGGACUCCCUGUGCUCUCAGCCUCCUACCAGAUCACAGUGGGAAGAAACCUUAGGCCAUUACCAAGAAACCUCAUCUAAACCUGUCUUAAAAGAUUGUGCAUUUUGGGAAAUGACGCCUUUGCUUCAUCUAGACGCCACCAGUGUCUACUGGACUGGGACUCAGAAGAUCCAGGCUCUGGUCCCUGCUCAGUCGCAAGGCCCCGGGGUGACAUUGGGCCAGUCGCUCACUCUCAGCCUAACCCACCGCACAGGGUUGUUGUUGUGAGAAUAAAAUGAAGUACAGCAGGACUGUGACAGUUGGGCUCCUCACAAGAUGAGAAAGGCAGGAUACAAAUGCAGUGUAAUAAUAAUGAUGACAAUAUCUGACAUUGUAAGACUACUCUAAAAGCAAAAUCCAAACCUACGGUUUUAAAAAGCAACCCUGGGCUUCGCUAUUUCUAUCUAAGCAUACAAGGGUACUAAACUCUGUGGUAGCCAUUCAGGUUAGAAAAUGUUGAUAGAAAGGCUCCAGAAAAUGUGGGGCACAGGCGAAACCGGAAAGGAUGCCAGCUAUUGUAAUCUAUCCUAGCUUCACAUACUUCACUGAUGCCAAGAGGCUGCCCUGAGAUCUGACCAGAAAAGAUAAAACUGUCUAGCUGUCAGUAUCACAACGGCAGGGCUUGGGUGUCGCGGGGGUGGGGGGCUGAACCCCAAAGCUGGGCUGCUUGCAAGGGUUUUGGCUGUAGGAAAAGAGGUCCCCAGAGGCCUGUAGCUGCAAGCUUCUAAGUCCUGAAUGGCUGUCACCAAGCAGUUUUUGCAAACCAGAAAGCAAGUACUGUAUUAGUAAGCCCUUAGGUAGAAAAGAUCCCUUUGAUGAUUCCUGUAUUGUUCAGUCCGCCUUUCAGUGCCAUCCCAUGCCUCUUGCAGCAGCUUCUUGCUUUUCAAUUGUUCUACCAGACUUGGUGGCAGCAGGAAAUGGUUGCCUUGUGGACCUCUGAGUCACGGUGGCUGAGAGCAGCUUGGUCCUGAGACUGAUGCGCUUGCUGAAGUAAGAAAUCCCACAGGGAUACUGCCCAGGGAAGGGCCUCCCCACCCCCGCCCCCAGGGGGAGGCAGCCAUGGGGAGAGGAAAUCCCCCCCACAGCUGGGAAUGAGCAGGAAUGUACACUGCAAGUCUCCGUCCCCAGGUGCACCCUAAAUACGCCAAUGUGCCCGCCCUGAAAGGUCCCCCUUUGAAGGCACACCUUGAACAAGCUGCCUGGCGGUGCGUCUUUUGGCGUUGUGGCCGUCAUGCAUUUGGCCCUCCUGUUUUGCUCUCAUGCGCCACCGGCAAACUGCCUCCAUGAUUCCCACCCACUCCUCCAAAAAGUGUAUGAAACUGAGAGUGUAUAAAAGGCUUGAUCUGGGCAGUCCCUCUGGGGGCUGCCUACACACUGCAUGUAUUUCCUGUUACGUCUGAAUAAAUGGCUAAUGUUCUUUUGAUUGGACACCCCUAGUGGACUCUCUCUGGUUUUCCUUAUCAGAAACAUGGGAAAGAAUUCUAUAUACCCCUUGGGAAAGGGAUGAAUU